GAUGAAGAACGUAGCGAAAUGCGAUAAGUAAUGCGAAUUCCAGAAUUCAGUGAAUCAUCGAAUCUUUGAACGCACAUUGCGCCCGCUAGUAUUCUGGCGGGCAUGCCUGUCUGAGCGUCAUUUCUACCCUCGCCCCCGGCUUUUGCUGGGAGCGGUGUUGGGGAUCGGCCGCCCGUCACUGGGAGGCCGGCCCCGAAAUAGAGUGGCGACCACGCCGUGUGCUCCUCUGCGUAGUAGUAAAUCACCUCGCAGGCGGACAGCGGUGCGGCCUGCCGUAAAACCCCCAACUCUUUCUGGUUGACCUCAGAUCAGGUAGGAAUACCCGCUGAACUUAAGCAUAUCAAUAAGCGGAGGA
Molecule: unclassified non-coding RNA, 355 nt
Filed under: soil metagenome
Description: partial contains 5.8S ribosomal RNA, internal transcribed spacer 2, and large subunit ribosomal RNA
Rfam family: 5.8S ribosomal RNA (bases 1-120)
Source: RNAcentral